UUGGUGUUAGUUUAAUAAAACCUUAAAAUGCAAUUUUAAUAUUAGCUUAUGCUACAUCAAU
RNAcentral lists this transfer RNA (61 nucleotides) under Oreohelix idahoensis. RNAcentral describes it as "tRNA-Cys". The record is from RNAcentral. Lineage: Eukaryota; Metazoa; Mollusca; Gastropoda; Stylommatophora; Oreohelicidae.